RNAcentral lists this ribosomal RNA (403 nucleotides) under uncultured bacterium. Its description in RNAcentral is "bacterial SSU rRNA". It matches the Rfam family "Bacterial small subunit ribosomal RNA", at positions 356 to 773 of the family's 1533-position model. The record is from RNAcentral.
UAGGAAUUUUGCGCAAUGGGGGAAACCCUGACGCAGCAACGCCGCGUGAGGGAAGAAGGCUUUCGGGUUGUAAACCUCUUUUAGUGGGAAAGAAAAAAAUGACGGUACCCACAGAAAAAGCACCGGCUAACUACGUGCCAGCAGCCGCGGUAAUACGUAGGGUGCAAGCGUUAUUCGGAAUUAUUGGGCGUAAAGCGCGUGUAGGCGGUCUAGUUAGUCUAAUGUGAAAUCCCUCGACUCAAUCGAGGAACUGCAUCGGAUACUGCUAGACUAGAGUACAGGAGGGGUGAGCGGAAUUCCUGGUGUAGAGGUGAAAUUCGUAGAUAUCAGGAGGAACAACAGCGGCGAAGGCGGCUCACUGGACUGUAACUGACGCUCAGACGCGAAAGCGUGGGGAGCAAAC